CCCGCAAGCAGCGUGUUCGCUCACCAUCUACCUCUCUUUUCAAGAGAGCACGUUGCAAAGACGUUCAGACCCGCCACCUCCGCGCUCCACGGCACCCUUUUUUUAGGACAGAGCAUCAAGUUGGUGGCAGUUCCCCAGCGAACACUGAGCACAACAGAUUACCGAAUUAGUGCGCAGGUGUUUGCGUGAGUGAUAGACGAAAAACUGUAACCUGUGGCAAAUCCCCCCACUAAAAACUGAUAAAACAACUGAAAAGGCUGUUGGGUUCACCUCUGAAAUCUAAAUCCCACCCAUAACCAAGCUCGAAAAUAGCCAAGAUAAACAAGUUGGAGCUGCAGCAAAUGAAAAGAAAAACAGACGUAUAAUAAUAAAACAAAAAAGCAACGAAAAACGAAGCCAAAAACUCACAUGCAACCGUCUUAAUGAAGUUGAGAAAAACUGGUUUGCUGAGAUAAACAUUUUGGAGUUUGUUUUGGUCCCGCUUUCAACGGUCAUAAGGGGAAGGGGGCUGAGCCAGGGUCCAAAGUUCAACACAAAACAGCACCAAGAAAGUACGACGACUCGUUUGCGCGAAACGCACACAUUUUGCAUGCUCCCGCACAGGCUAGUUCGAACUUUUAGCAUAUCCAACAUCUGUACGCAAAAUAUCAUAAAAUCUUCUCUUGGCAUUACACAGAAAUUACUUAUUGAUCGUUGGGCUUCUUUAUAAGUCUCAAGAGAAAGUUGAGACAAACGAAGUCAGUAUCUUUUAUUAUUUACAUAAGUAGAUCUUAUCAUUUAGUUUUUAAAAUAACCUUUAAAGCCCCACGUAGUUCUUUACGCUUUAUUUAAAAAAAAAAAUGAUCCGAAACGUUAACAUUUCGAAGAUCUCUAUCAUAGAAACAUGAUUUAUAUUUAAGACUGGUUAUACCAAACUUAACAGAUAAUACAUUAGUGAUCCAUUAUAGCACGUUUACUAAUUUAAUUAGCCAUUAUACUUUCAAUAUUCACAAUUAAUAAGCCUGUGGUGCUAUAAUUGUGAGCUCAACUGUAGAUGUGGGCGGGGGGCAGAGCAAGAGCGAGAUAUAGUGUGUGUGGUGCAUUAAAAAUGCUGUUUGAAAUGUUAUGCGAAUAAAAAAAGCACAUUACAUGCGAGUGUACAUAAGAUAAGUUCGAAAUGCAAUCAACUAUUGAAUAACAAGUAUCCCACAUCUAUAUAAUACCAAACUAUAUGCUAUACUGUAUAAAACUGGAUAUCAGGCCCACUGUAACUCUCUCCUUUUCAUUUAAUUUCUCUCAAUGCAAAUGCAACUGUAACGCGAUCGAUGUAAGAGAAAGAGAGCACUCAUUUGCAUAGAGCUCGCUUUGCAAGAG
Drosophila melanogaster (fruit fly) is the source of this 1353-nucleotide non-coding RNA. NCBI's taxonomy places the organism in Eukaryota, Metazoa, Arthropoda, Insecta, Diptera, Drosophilidae. The record is from Ensembl.